This is a long non-coding RNA of Apis cerana (Asiatic honeybee), 372 nucleotides long. RefSeq lists it as uncharacterized. Lineage: Eukaryota; Metazoa; Arthropoda; Insecta; Hymenoptera; Apidae. The record is from RefSeq and is a predicted model, not a curated record.
UUCCACUUCCAAGCGACGACUGAUUGGUGGCGCCAUCUAACGACCGAGUCCCAAACUUCGUAGCUAAGCCUGUGUCACACGAGGCAACGUUUCCGGAUUCGUUACAAUACGCGGAUCGAUCCGUUUUAUCUUUUUUUCGGAAGAUAUAGUGAGAAAUGAAAAAGUGUAUAUUGGCAUUUUAUUGCACGAUAAAUACUACUGGACCCCUCUCUAUUGGAUCGAUGGAAUUUUUUCACGGAAAGUGGAGAUUUCUUACUUCGAGAAUUCAGGUCAACUAAGAUGAUACAAAGAAGCCAAGUUUUUUUUUAAACAGUGGAAUAAUGAUGUUAUUAUUAGCAAGUUAAAUAAAAAAUUCAUUAUGGAAUAAAUAAA